GGCGAACGGGUGAGUAACACGUGGGUGACCUACCCUCGAGUGGGGGAUAACAUCCCGAAAGGGGUGCUAAUACCGCAUGACAUCCUGUCUUUGAACAGAUGGACAUUAAAGCCGGGGAUCGCAAGACCUGGCGCUCGAGGAGGGGCUCGCGUCCGAUUAGCUAGUUGGUGGGGUAAUGGCCUACCAAGGCGACGAUCGGUAGCCGGCCUGAGAGGGCGGACGGCCACACUGGGACUGAGACACGGCCCAGACUCCUACGGGAGGCAGCAGUGGGGAAUUGUUCGCAAUGGGCGCAAGCCUGACGACGCAACGCCGCGUGGAGGAUGAAGAUCUUCGGGUCGUAAACUCCUUUCGAUCGGGACGAAUGGCUGGUGGUCUAACACACCAUCAGAGUGACGGUACCGAGAGAAGAAGCCCCGGCUAACUCCGUGCCAGCAGCCGCGGUAAUACGGGGGGGGCAAGCGUUGUUCGGAAUUACUGGGCGUAAAGGGCGCGUAGGCGGCCUACUAAGUCGGACGUGAAAUCCCUCGGCUCAACCGAGGAACUGCGUCCGAUACUGGCAGGCUGGAAUCCGGGAGAGGGAUGUGGAAUUCCAGGUGUAGCGGUGAAAUGCGUAGAUAUCUGGAGGAACACCGGUGGCGAAGGCGGCAUCCUGGACCGGUAUUGACGCUGAGGCGCGAAAGCUAGGGGAGCAAACGGGAUUAGAUACCCCGGUAGUCC
RNAcentral lists this ribosomal RNA (720 nucleotides) under uncultured bacterium. RNAcentral describes it as "bacterial SSU rRNA". It matches the Rfam family "Bacterial small subunit ribosomal RNA", at positions 97 to 796 of the family's 1533-position model. The record is from RNAcentral.